This 590-nucleotide long non-coding RNA is filed under the name Panax ginseng (ginseng). RNAcentral describes it as "long non-coding RNA (PGIN_LNC007756)". The record is from RNAcentral. Lineage: Eukaryota; Viridiplantae; Streptophyta; Magnoliopsida; Apiales; Araliaceae.
UAACUUAUCAUUUUGUAGUAGCAUUAACAUAUUAAAAUUAUAUUUUGGAAGUCUAAAGAACCAAACUAAGCAUUAUAUAAUGUUGCUGAGAUUUAAAACUCGUGUCCCAUAUUAAGUGUCCCAAUAGUGCUCAAAUAGUAGUCUAUAACCUCAUUGCGUGAACUUGAGCUGCUACAAAUCCAUGGUGAUGAUGGUUAUGAAUUGGCAGUUGACCAACUCCUAUAUACCCAUUGUUUUCUUCCAUUUUCAAUUGAUUCAAACCAUAUAACAAAGCCAUGAACUGGGCAGCCAUUUCUCUAUAAAUGGCAGCCAAACUCUCAUUUCUCAAUUUUCUAUAAACUUUUCUAUUAAGUAUACUUUUAGACUGUGAGUUACUGAGAAUUUAGGAAGUAUAAACAGAGGAGUGAGGGUGUUCAAUUCAAGCUUCAAGGAGGUAUAAAUUCUUUUUUUGUUUUUAAAAUUGAGUUUUGUCAAAUUCUUGGAUUGCUUGAAUUCUCUGUCAAUUAGUAUGAAUUAGCAUGCCAUUGUGUUGUUUAAGUAUGUAUGCAUGUCUAGAAGCAUUCUGAGUUGCAGUAUAAGAUGUAUUAGUA